Molecule: unclassified non-coding RNA, 294 nt
Filed under: Hevea brasiliensis (rubber tree)
Lineage: Eukaryota; Viridiplantae; Streptophyta; Magnoliopsida; Malpighiales; Euphorbiaceae
Source: RNAcentral
UGGGGGAAAUGAUCCUGUCCGGCCGCAUCCAUGACGGUGAAAACGUCGCGGUCUCGGCGACCGAUGCGGGUCUGACCUUCAACGGUCAGCUUGCAAAGAUCGAUAGCGAGAUGCCGCCGGUGCCGAAGAGCAAGCUGAACUAAGGACUGCGCACCCUGUCAUCACGGGGCAUAGCCGUUCGAAAAACGGUGUCGCUCCGCUGUCCCGGUGAUCCCGAUGGGUUGGGCACAAUGCCCUAUUCGUCGGGAUAGCCGUGACAGGCCCGGCCAUGAGCCGCGGAGGCGACAAACCCAU